UGCAAAACACUGGAGACUGAAAUUUUCCAUUCAGCCAUAGAACAGGUACAGCAUUUUCCCACCAAUGUGCCUCAUCUCUGGCCAUGGAAGGCCCAUGUCUAGAGGUACAAGUGUGUAUUAAUUUCCACUGCCAGGAAGGGGCUAUC
This 146-nucleotide small RNA is filed under the name Chrysemys picta bellii (western painted turtle). Its description in RNAcentral is "TUC338 (ENSCPBG00000022438.1)". Lineage: Eukaryota; Metazoa; Chordata; Testudines; Emydidae. The record is from RNAcentral.